This 465-nucleotide ribosomal RNA is filed under the name uncultured bacterium. Its description in RNAcentral is "partial 16S ribosomal RNA". It matches the Rfam family "Bacterial small subunit ribosomal RNA", at positions 339 to 795 of the family's 1533-position model. The record is from RNAcentral.
CUACGGGCCGCAGCAGUGAGGAAUAUUGCGCAAUGGGGGAAACCCUGACGCAGCGACGCCGCGUGGAUGAUGAAGGCCUUCGGGUUGUAAAAUCCUGUCAGAUGGGAAGAAUUGUUCCAUGUCUAAUAUAUGUGGGACUUGACGGUACCGUCAAAGGAAGCACCGGCUAACUCCGUGCCAGCAGCCGCGGUAAUACGGAGGGUGCAAGCGUUGUUCGGAAUUACUGGGCGUAAAGCGCGCGGAGGCGGUCUGUUAAGUCAGAUGUGAAAGCCCAUGGCUCAACCAUGGACGUGCGUUUGAUACUGGCAGACUUGAGUACUGGAGGGGGUGGUGGAAUUCCCGGUGUAGAGGUGAAAUUCGUAGAUAUCGGGAGGAAUACCGGUGGCGAAGGCGACCACCUGGCCAGAUACUGACGCUGAGGUGCGAAAGCGUGGGGAGCAAACAGGAUUAGAUACCCGCGUAGUC